AACGAACGCUGGCGGCAUGCCUAACACAUGCAAGUCGAACGAGACCUUCGGGUCUAGUGGCGCACGGGUGCGUAACGCGUGGGAACCUGCCCUUAGGUUCGGAAUAACUCCCCGAAAGGGGUGCUAAUACCGGAUAAUGUCUUCGGACCAAAGAUUUAUCGCCUUUGGAUGGGCCCGCGUUGGAUUAGCUAGUUGGUAGGGUAAAAGCCUACCAAGGCGACGAUCCAUAGCUGGUCUGAGAGGAUGAUUAGCCACACUGGGACUGAGACACGGCCCAGACUCCUACGGGAGGCAGCAGUGGGGAAUAUUGGACAAUGGGCGAAAGCCUGAUUCAGCAAUGCCGCGUGAGUGAUGAAGGCCUUAGGGUUGUAAAGCUCUUUUACCCGGGAUGAUAAUGACAGUACCGGGAGAAUAAGCUCCGGCUAACUCCGUG
Molecule: ribosomal RNA, 433 nt
Filed under: uncultured bacterium
Lineage: Bacteria
Description: partial 16S ribosomal RNA
Rfam family: Bacterial small subunit ribosomal RNA
Source: RNAcentral